This is a long non-coding RNA of Oncorhynchus nerka (sockeye salmon), 620 nucleotides long. RefSeq lists it as uncharacterized. Lineage: Eukaryota; Metazoa; Chordata; Actinopteri; Salmoniformes; Salmonidae. The transcript is spliced from 3 exons. The record is from RefSeq and is a predicted model, not a curated record.
ACACUUACUUGGUCCAAACAAGCACAACCGGUUCCCCAGUGUCUCAUCAAAGAGGACGACAGCUACCCAACGUCCCAUCCAAGGGCUCACUGGAUCGAAAAGAUGGAGAGGAGAUGAAUAAUUCUUAUCAAGGAGGACCAAUGGCGUAUCAAACACCUCACCCCAUCCACUACCGAGUCCCCUCCCCUCUCCAACACCAGCCAUCAAUUCCUGUCCAGCAACAUCCUCCACAACCUCUCAUACGCCAACUAUCUGCCCCUGUACAGUACCAAAACCAGCCCCCUGUAUAUUACCAAGGCCCACCCUCUGCUCUGUAUCAAGCUCCUCCCCCUGUCCAGUCCCCAGCCCCUUCCCCAGCCCCUGUUGUAACCUCUCCCAGCCCCUGUUGUAACCUCUCCUCCAGCCCCAACACCUGCCCCAGUUGUAACCUCUCCUCCAGCCCCUGCCCCAGCAGUACCUUCUCCUCCAGCCCCUGCCCCAACACCUGCCUCAGUUGUAACCUCUCCUCCAGCCCCUGCCCCAAUUGUAACCUCUACUCCAGCCCCUGCCCCAGCACCUGCCCCAGUUGUAACCUCUCCUCCAGCCCCUUCCCCAGAGCCAGCCCCUGCCCUCCCCCAGCC